RNAcentral lists this ribosomal RNA (409 nucleotides) under bacterium. Its description in RNAcentral is "partial 16S ribosomal RNA". It matches the Rfam family "Bacterial small subunit ribosomal RNA", at positions 355 to 776 of the family's 1533-position model. The record is from RNAcentral.
UGGGGAAUAUUGCACAAUGGGCGAAAGCCUGAUGCAGCGACGCCGCGUGAGGGAUGACGGCCUUCGUGUUGUAAACCUCUUUCAGUAGGGACGAAGCGCAAGUGACGGUACCUGCAGAAGAAGCACCGGCUAACUACGUGCCAGCAGCCGCGGUAAUACGUAGGGUGCGAGCGUUGUCCGGAAUUACUGGGCGUAAAGAGCUCGUAGGCGGGUUGUCACGUCGUCUGUGAAAUCCUAGGGCUUAACCCUGGACGUGCAGGCGAUACGGGCCGACUUGAGUACUACAGGGGAGACUGGAAUUUCUGGUGUAGCGGUGGAAUGCACAGAUAUCAGGAAGAACACCGAUGGCGAAGGCAGGUCUCUGGGUAGUAACUGACGCUGAGGAGCGAAAGCAUGGGUAGCGAACAGG